This 460-nucleotide ribosomal RNA is filed under the name uncultured bacterium. Its description in RNAcentral is "partial 16S ribosomal RNA". It matches the Rfam family "Bacterial small subunit ribosomal RNA", at positions 338 to 795 of the family's 1533-position model. The record is from RNAcentral.
CCUACGGGUGGCUGCAGUGAGGAAUAUUGGUCAAUGGACGAGAGUCUGAACCAGCCAAGUAGCGUGAAGGAUGACUGCCCUAUGGGUUGUAAACUUCUUUUAUAAGGGAAUAAAAUGUGCCACGUGUGGGAUUUUGUAUGUACCAUAUGAAUAAGGAUCGGCUAACUCCGUGCCAGCAGCCGCGGUAAUACGGAGGGUCCGAGCGUUAUCCGGAUUUAUUGGGUUUAAAGGGAGCGUAGGUGGAUUGUUAAGUCAGUUGUGAAAGUUUGCGGCUCAACCGUAAAAUUGCAGUUGAAACUGGCAGUCUUGAGUACAGUAGAGGUGGGCGGAAUUCGUGGUGUAGCGGUGAAAUGCUUAGAUAUCACGAAGAACUCCGAUUGCGAAGGCAGUUCACUAGACUGCAACUGACACUGAGGCUCGAAAGUGUGGGUAUCAAACAGGAUUAGAUACCCCUGUAGUC